UUGCACCACUGCACUCCAGCCUGGGCGAUACAGUGAGACCCAGUCUCAAAAAAAAAAAAAAAAGAGUCUUUUUUGAUGGUGGACAUCUUCCAAUGAGCAUUCACAUGGGACAGAUUUUUUUUUAGUUCUACCGUUGUUCUGAAAGCUCUAUGUAUGUUCCUCUUCCCUAAAAAUCUUUGUCACCAAGCCUCCAGAUUUAUUCCUUCUAAAAUGUUGAAAUUCCAGCUAAUUCCUUAGUUGUUACCCAGGAAACAAUGCAGAUCCUGGUCCGAGGAUGCAGCUCCUUCCAGGCAGCCUGGACUGUGAGGUGUGCUCCAUUGCUCUUCAGGAACCGUCCUUGAGAGGCGUUCCACAGCAGGCCAGACCUGGGGGGAGCAGGUGGGCCAGGCGGAAAGCACAGCACAAUUUGAGAGAUGCUGAGUACUCAUGACUCUGUGUAAGCACCUGAAUUCAGCCCUCAUGGUCUUUUCUGAGCUGUCAGUCAUUUAUCUCUAUUUAGUCAUUUUGCGAAUUGGAGUUAGCUUCCUUCCCUCUACACUCAAAGACGGCAUGUCAACAUUUUAGGCCUCUGGGUGGAAUGAACUCCCAGUUUCCUGGGAGGGAGCUGAUUGGCAUCUAUUCGCCUCUUCCUAGUUUUGUGGGGUUUCCCAGCAUGUGGAGUCAUAGAGAAAGACUGGUCCCACCUUCUAUGUAAUGCCCAAGAGAAUAGAUGACUCUCUGUCCACCCCCACCCUGGCAUCCAGGGCUUCUGGACAAGACCUAGGCUGGCUAAUUGGCUGCUUCCACAUGGGAUCCUGAAUCUGGAGCAAGUGAGGCAAAGCCCAGGGUGCUUAGAAUCCAUUCUCAGUGAGAGCAGCAGGACUGCCCGGGAGGGGAAUAGAGACGGGGACGACCGAGUCCUGCACCAGCAGAGAUGACGUCCGCAGGUGGCGGGGCAGCGCUGUGGCCGUGUCACUCCUCACAAAGCAGGGCUCUUGUGCUCGCAGCCUUCGAUACCGUCUCACUGUCUUGGCUUCUAUUUAUCUUCCAAGCCAAUUUCCAGCCUCCUACACACGUGGGGUUCUUCUGGUAUCAUUCCAGUGAAUUUCAUGUUGUUUUCUGCCCUAAGAAAACAGAGUUGGUACCUCUGCUCGACCAAGAAGCCUGAUUGAUACAGACUGAGAGCUGCAGGCUGUGUUUAUUUGCUUCAUUAACAAGAACAACUUAGGAAUGGCAACUUCCAUUGAUGAGCUUCCUACUUUGUUCUGCGGUUGGAAAACAAACAGUUGUUUCCCUGUUGACGACUGGCCACACUGGAGAGGUGAACAGUUCACUCUCAAGGCCAUACUGACUUGAACACUGGCUGUCUAGAAACAGAGAGGCAGGCAGCGGCAGACAGGAAGAGAGAUGGAGCAGAGUCCUCCAGCGGGAGCUGCACCUCGGAAGCAUCCUUAGAUGCGGCUUGGAGUUGGGAUCCUUCAAUUCCCCUCAGGAGAGUCAGCCAAAAAUAUCAACAGCCACAAUUUAUUGGACGCCUUCAGGAGAAAUGUCAAAGGCCUUUGUCCAAAAUGGAGUUUCACUGUUGUUGCCCAGGCAGGAGUGCAGUGGCGACUGGGAGUAAGACUUCGGGCCAGUGUGUCGUCCUGGAAACCCAAGCUGGUUCCCUGCAGGAAAGGAGGCUGGACAAGUGGGAAUGAGACUGAGUUGGAGUGGAGUUGGCCUCCACUCUGUUUACUAAGAGCUGUGUGUCCCUAGGAAAAACAUUAACAUCUGCCAUUUUUCUAAAUUGAAUGUGAAAGAUGAUCCUGACAGGCUGAACAAAGAUGCUUGCUCUCUGUUGUGAUGUUUGACAAGGGAAUCUUCCUUCAUUUUCUCCUCUGAUGAGCCUCUCUACCAGAUAAGCAGCAGCAGGAACCAAACGUUUAAGAAAAAUGUAAAGACAUUAUUUUGUCCAUCACUUAACAUUUUUAUGAACAAGUUGGGAGGUAGCCUGCAUGAAUGCCUCUGUGCAAUGGAAUGAAUGGCCGGAGAUCUCACCAUCCCAGGAUGACUUUGGGGAAGGAAGACCCAAACAGCCCACUAUCACAUGCUGUCCUGCCUGCCUCAGGCCUCCUGUCCUUCUCUCCCUUGUGACCUGCAAACUAACCUUGAGGACUCAUGUCAACUGUCACUGCAUUGGAAGCCCUCUGUGAUAGUUAAUAUUGAGUGUCAACUUGAUUGGAUUGAAGGAUGCAAAGUAUUGUUCCUGGGUGUGUCUGUGAGGGUGUGGC
Molecule: long non-coding RNA, 2249 nt
Filed under: Homo sapiens (human)
Lineage: Eukaryota; Metazoa; Chordata; Mammalia; Primates; Hominidae
Description: HSALNT0405956
Source: RNAcentral